AAAAACACUGGAGAAAUGAGACUUUUAAAGGCACAGAUGAUGAGUUUGGUAGAAUUUUUAUUUUUAAUUAAUUGCAGGCAAUGCUUGCAUCUAAAGACUACUGGAUGUUUUUCAGCAGGACUUUGAAGWCCUCCUCCUCUGCUCUAACUCUGGGUUAAAUGUGUGAAAAUGAAGGAGAACCACAGGUCACUGGAAAUGUUUGAGUCACAAACAUUUGCAACAUUUAUAUUAAUUGUCACUACAGACGAAGAACAUGUCUAAUGAAAGGAGGAGUCAGCACAUUGGCAUGUGGCCCAGUGGCAGAGGGAUGGCCAGUGAAGAAGAGGAUUUAACCCUCAAAAAAACUAAUGAGCCUUCACAUCCCUCCUGAUUUGGGCCUAAAGUGAGCAUCUGACAAAGAUGAACAGGCUUCCACAUGGCUUCGUUGAAGCAACCGCUCCCUCGACGAUAUGUAUCGACUUCUUGUGAAMAUUUUGAAAUGUGAGCAUCCGGCUUCAUUUCAUCCUAUCUGCACUGUGCUGGAGCCGCUCUCUGAACUAUGGGAACACUAAAGGCAAUGGCCUUUGGACUGUUUGUGCCCGACGGGUGCAUCUGGGGGCCCCGGUUUGCCCACUCCUGCUCUGCUGUGUGAUCUGAUGUGACACUAAGACGUCAUUAUCCUCAUCACUAUGCUAGCCUGCCGCUCCGCGCUGGAAACMGGCUUUGACAGCCAUCACCCCUCCAACCCGACUGGACCAGUGACCCUCUGACCYGCAGCCAUAAAGACGGUGCUCCAGUCCACCACUAUUACAUGCAGACCUCUGGACUAUGUAACCCUGACAUAGUCACAAGGUUUUGGAUUUCUUUUUCUAUGUCUUCUGCUUUUCUUCUUUAAAAAACUUUUCACUUUUUUGCACCUUUUCUCUGCUGUAGAAGAGUUUUUUUAUGUUUGGAGCUUCUUAAAGUUGGAUUAGUUCUUUGRUUUGUCCAGACUGUUGAUACCUCUGACCAGAUCAGGUGCAGAAAACCCUCAGCAACUCAGGCAUCUCUCAUUUCCUCUGCCGUUGAUUGUUUAGCUAAUCAGCCCUAAUUUGUGAUUGUAUUCAGCUAACAAAGAGGGACAGUGAUACCCACAUCGUGAUUCAUUACAUAAGCGGUCUCAUAUUAGAGGAAACACCUGCAAUAAGUCUGUUUUUCUUCCUCUUUUUCUUUUUAACCCAGCGUCAUAUUUUCCAGGCAUAGCCUCCCAAUCUUUUUAAAAUUUGAAACCUGGAAAGAAAGCUUGCCUCGGAUGCAUUUAAAAUAAAAAUAGUUGCUGUGCUCAGAUUCUAUCCCUCAUUAGAGAUGAUACUUGUGAGUAAUUUGCAACAUUUCUGUUGAGUGCUUUUUGAGGGCUUAAUUGUUUUCUGGCAUUUAGAGGGUGCUUUGAGUACUGUAUCAAAAAGCUGUUAAGGCCCAUAGUUCACACAUACUGUAAAAGGUGUGUUUCUGUUUAAUAGCUGCUCCGUUAUUGAAGCUAACCAUUAUUCCAAUGUGUGUGUUGUGACUUGUUUUGUGCAUUCAAACCGUCUCUCCUCACUUCCCUCAGGGACCCCCUCUACACAGCAGUUUAUCUCCGCAGGACAAAGAAUGCAUCUGAAACUUGUCGUCUUCCUUUGCAUCAGUUGUGUGUUGUUGUUUGUUUGUUUUUUUUCCCACAGUAAAAUGAGUCAUUGUGUCUUUUUUAGCUUCCAAAGUUGCGCCAGUAGGUGAAAACGUGUGUCGCAAACUGCUCGCAUCUCUGAACAAAAUGAAAACGUGGAAAUGUUAGGUCACGUCUGCUUAAAAUACCGUCUUCUCUCCUGUCAUUGAAGAGCCUGUAUACCUCGUCAGACACAGCAAUAGACCCCGGACCUCUCCUGUCGAGCCUGCAGGGGGGGGCUGGAGAAGGAGAAUCAGGGUGGGAACGGAGCCAAGAAGAGAUGAAACUGACAUAACAGAGUGGUUUUGUUUGUUUUUUGCUUUUUUUUUUCUGCUGUAAAUACAAGUCUAAAAGGAGAGAAUGAAGAAGUGUUUGUUUGUUAAACUAUUUUUAUUGUUCUGAAAAAAAUAAAGAUAAAAAGAAUGACUGAA
Austrofundulus limnaeus is the source of this 2091-nucleotide long non-coding RNA. RefSeq lists it as uncharacterized. Lineage: Eukaryota; Metazoa; Chordata; Actinopteri; Cyprinodontiformes; Rivulidae. The transcript has 2 exons. The record is from RefSeq and is a predicted model, not a curated record.